GCAAGUUUUUAAGGGCGCACGGUGGAUGCCUUGGCAUCAGGAGCCGAUGAAGGACGCGGUAAUCUGCGAUAAGCCUCGGGGAGCUGAUAAACGAGCUGUGAUCCGAGGGUCUCCGAAUGGGGAAACCCCACUACGUGUUAUGCGUGGUGACCCGCACCUGAAUUCAUAGGGUGUGUGGAGGGAACGUGGGGAAGUGAAACAUCUCAGUACCCACAGGAAGAGAAAACAACAGUGAUUCCGUCAGUAGUGGCGAGCGAACGCGGAAGAGGCCAAACCGAUGGUGUGUGAUACCCGGCAGGGGUUGCAUCAUCGGGGUCGUGGGGCGUGUCGUCCCGGGUCUGCCGGCCCGGGCGUGUGAGUGCAGGGCGAUAGUCGAACCGGUGUGAGUGCCGGACCGGAGAGGGUGAGAGUCCCGUAGACGAAAUCGUUGCUGCCGCACGGUACGCGUACCCAAGUAGCACGGGGCCCGAGAAAUCCCGUGUGAAUCUGCCAGGACCACCUGGUAAGCCUAAAUACUACCUGAUGACCGAUAGCGGACUAGUACCGUGAGGGAAAGGUGAAAAGUACCCCGGGAGGGGAGUGAAAUAGUACCUGAAACCGUGUGCCUACAAACCGUCGGAGCCCUACAAGGUGACGGCGUGCCUUUUGAAGAAUGAGCCUGCGAGUUAGUGUUACGUCGCGAGGUUAACCCGUGAGGGGUAUCCGUAGCGAAAGCGAGUCUGAACAGGGCGAGUGAGUGGCGUGAUCUAGACCCGAAGCGAAGUGAUCUACCCAUGGCCAGGUUGAAGCGCGUGUAAGAGCGCGUGGAGGACCGAACCCACUUCAGUUGAAAAUGGAGGGGAUGAGCUGUGGGUAGGGGUGAAAGGCCAAUCAAACUCCGUGAUAGCUGGUUCUCCCCGAAAUGCAUUUAGGUGCAGCGUUACGUGUUUCUUGCCGGAGGUAGAGCUACUGGAUGGCCGAUGGGCCCUACAAGGUUACUGACGUCAGCCAAACUCCGAAUGCCGGUAAGUUUAAGCGCGGCAGUGAGACUGCGGGCGAUAAGGUUCGUAGUCGAGAGGGAAACAGCCCAGACCACCAACUAAGGCCCCUAAGCGUGUGCUAAGUGGGAAAGGAUGUGGAGUUGCUUAGACAACCAGGAGGUUGGCUUAGAAGCAGCCACCCUUGAAAGAGUGCGUAAUAGCUCACUGGUCAAGUGAUUCCGCGCCGACAAUGUAGCGGGGCUCAAGUACACCGCCGAAGUUGUGGCAUUGCACCAAUGAUACCCAACCGGUCUUCGGACCGGUUCAGGUGGUGCGAUGGGUAGGGGAGCGUCGUGUGGGCAGUGAAGCUGCGGGGUGACCCAGUGGUGGAGCCCACACGAGUGAGAAUGCAGGCAUGAGUAGCGAAUGAGGAGUGAGAAACUCCUCCACCGAAAGACCAAGGGUUCCAGGGUCAAGCUAAUCUGCCCUGGGUCAGUCGGGACCUAAGGCGAGGCCGACAGGCGUAGUCGAUGGACAACGGGUUGAUAUUCCCGUACCGGCGAAGAACCGCCCCUAUCGAACCGGGGACACUAACCACCCGAACCGGGCCAUGCGGUGACCAUUGGUCGCCGCCGGCACCGGGGAGCGUGGGACCUGAACCGGGGAGGUAAGCGUAUUAACAGGUGUGACGCAGGAAGGUAGCCGAGCCGGGCGAUGGUAGACCCGGUCUAAGCGUGUAGGGCGAUCCGUUGGCAAAUCCGCGGAUCAUUGAGCCUGAGACGUGACGGGACCCCCAUUCGUGGGGGGAUUCGGUGAUCCUAUGCUGCCGAGAAAAGCAUCGACGCGAGGUUCCAGCCGCCCGUACCCCAAACCGACACAGGUGAUCAGGUAGAGAAUACUAAGGCGAUCGAGAGAAUCAUGGUUAAGGAACUCGGCAAAAUGCCCCCGUAACUUCGGGAUAAGGGGGGCCGGACACGUCACUUGCACUUGCUGCGGGUUGGCGUUGAAGGCCGCAGAGACCAGGCCCAAGCGACUGUUUACUAAAAACACAGGUCCGUGCUAAGUCGUAAGACGAUGUAUACGGACUGACGCCUGCCCGGUGCUGGAACGUUAAGGGGAAGUGUUAGUCGCAAGGCGAAGCACUGAACUUAAGCGCCAGUAAACGGCGGUGGUAACUAUAACCAUCCUAAGGUAGCGAAAUUCCUUGUCGGGUAAGUUCCG
This 2180-nucleotide ribosomal RNA is filed under the name Chattonella subsalsa. RNAcentral describes it as "partial Bacterial large subunit ribosomal RNA". It matches the Rfam family "Bacterial large subunit ribosomal RNA", at positions 1 to 1985 of the family's 2925-position model. The record is from RNAcentral. Lineage: Eukaryota; Raphidophyceae; Chattonellales; Chattonellaceae.